Molecule: unclassified non-coding RNA, 240 nt
Filed under: soil metagenome
Description: partial contains 5.8S ribosomal RNA, internal transcribed spacer 2, and large subunit ribosomal RNA
Source: RNAcentral
AACGGUCUAUACCUGCGGUACCUGCGGAGGGAUCAUUACAUGGCGGAGGAGGUGGGCACCUAGUAAAAACAAAACCCUAGGUGUGUUGCCUACCACGCUUUCUACCCUUGUCUAUUUGCACCUUUUGUCGUUCCCUCGGUGGGUCUUGAACCUGCCGGCGGCAACUUUCAAAAACCUUUUGUAGUUAGUAUCUAAUUCUUCUGAUCAAAUAUUCAAUCGUUACAACUUUUAACAACGGAU